RNAcentral lists this ribosomal RNA (301 nucleotides) under uncultured bacterium. RNAcentral's name for it is "partial 16S ribosomal RNA". It matches the Rfam family "Bacterial small subunit ribosomal RNA", at positions 509 to 807 of the family's 1533-position model. The record is from RNAcentral.
CAGUAGCCGCGGUAACACGAGGGGGGCAAGCGUUGUUCGGAAUUAUUGGGCGUAAAGGGUGCGUAGGCGGCUUGACAAGUCUUGUGUGAAAUCUAUGGGCUCAACCCAUAGUCUGCACGGGAAACUGUCGGGCUUGAGAAUGGGAGAGGUGAGUGGAAUUUCCGGUGUAGCGGUGAAAUGCGUAGAUAUCGGAAGGAACACCUGUGGCGAAAGCGGCUCACUGGACCAUUUCUGACGCUGAUGCACGAAAGCUAGGGGAGCAAACAGGAUUAGAUACCCCCGUAGUCCCUGUCUCUUAUAC